AAGCAAGGGGACUCUGCCGCUGCUUUCGACGCCUCUGGGCGAAUCGAGAGGGGAGGAAAGUCCGGGCAACACAGGGCACCGCACUGGUGAAACUGCCAGACGGGCGAGAGCUCGUGUAACCGUAACAGAAAACGACCGCCUCGACCGGUCAAACGGUCGGGGUAAGGGUGAAAAGGCGGGGUAAGAGCCCACCGGUACCGGCGGUAACGUCGGUAGCCGUACGGCCUGCGGGUUGCAAGACCAUGUACACCGAUGUCGAGACACAUCUUUCGGGGUGUGUUUCCGAAGGACGGCCCGUCCGAGUCGGGGGGUAGGUUGCUGACGAUCCGGCGGGAGACCGUCGGGCUGGAUAAAUGGCAGAGGCUUUUCAUCCGGGUAAGCGCACUCGCGCAGUGCCGCCGGAAAAAGUACAGAACCCGGCUUAUACCCCUUGCUUUUUC
This 440-nucleotide RNase P RNA is filed under the name Rikenella sp. Its description in RNAcentral is "RNase P RNA component class A". It matches the Rfam family "Bacterial RNase P class A". Rfam says of the family: Ribonuclease P (RNase P) is a ubiquitous endoribonuclease, found in archaea, bacteria and eukarya as well as chloroplasts and mitochondria. Its best characterised activity is the generation of mature 5'-ends of tRNAs by cleaving the 5'-leader elements of precursor-tRNAs. Cellular RNase Ps are ribonucleoproteins. Lineage: Bacteria; Pseudomonadati; Bacteroidota; Bacteroidia; Bacteroidales; Rikenellaceae. The record is from RNAcentral.